GUGUUGGGGACCGGCGACCUCGUGCGCCGCCCCCGAAAUGAAUUGGCGGUCUCGUCCGCGGCCUCCUCUGCGUAGUAGCACAACCUCGCAACAGGAGCGCGGCGCGGCCACUGCCGUAAAACGCCCAACUUUUUCUUAGAGUUGACCUCGAAUCAGGUAGGAAUACCCGCUGAACUUAAGCAUAUCAAUAAGCGGAGGAAAAGAAACCAACAGGGAUUGCCCCAGUAACGGCGAGUGAAGCGGCAACAGCUCAAAUUUGAAAUCUGGCCCCUAGGGCCCGAGUUGUAAUUUGCAGAGGAUGCUUUUGGCGAGGUGCCUUCCGAGUUCCCUGGAACGGGACGCCACAGAGGGUGAGAGCCCCGUCUGGUUGGAUACCGAGCCUCUGUAAAGCUCCUUCGACGAGUCGAGUAGUUUGGGAAUGCUGCUCUAAAUGGGAGGUAUAUGUCUUCUAAAGCUAAAUACCGGCCAGAGACCGAUAGCGCACAAGUAGAGUGAUCGAAAGAUGAAAAGCACUUUGAAAAGAGGGUUAAAUAGUACGUGAAAUUGUUGAAAGGGAAGCGCUUAUGACCAGACUUGGGCCCGGUGAAUCAUCCAGCGUUCUCGCUGGUGCACUUUGCCGGGCUCAGGCCAGCAUCAGUUUGCCCCGGGGGAUAAAGGCUUUGGGAAUGUGGCUCUUUCGGGAGUGUUAUAGCCCACUGCACAAUACCCUGAGGCGGACUGAGGUUCGCGCAUCUGCAAGGAUGCUGGCGUAAUGGUCAUCAGCGACCCGUCUUGAAACACGGACCAAGGAGUCGUCUUCGUAUGCGAGUGUUCGGGUGUAAAACCCCUACGCGUAAUGAAAGUGAACGCAGGUGAGAGCUUCGGCGCAUCAUCGACCGAUCCUGAUGUUCUCGGAUGGA
RNAcentral lists this ribosomal RNA (899 nucleotides) under Metarhizium granulomatis. RNAcentral describes it as "eukaryotic LSU rRNA". The stretch from base 143 to 899 matches the Rfam family "Eukaryotic large subunit ribosomal RNA", at positions 1 to 788 of the family's 3401-position model. The record is from RNAcentral. Lineage: Eukaryota; Fungi; Ascomycota; Sordariomycetes; Hypocreales; Clavicipitaceae.